GCCUGUUAUUUUGCUUUGCUAAUCUAGGAGCCAUGAAGAGAAGUCCAUAAAUAGGUAUUCUCUCUGCAUGUAGUUUUAACGUGUUCUUUAAAAAAAGGAAGGGAGGAAUUGCAUUGGCCUGAGGGCCCGAGAAAGCAAACUCCAUCAUCAAACCAUCUAUUUACAUAACUGCUAGCACUUUACAUUUUUCAAUUUUACCUGACUAUAUAUAAAAUAUAUGUGUUUUUACUGCCAAGCUAACAUGAAAUGAUAAAGAAAUAAAAUGCUGAUGGAAAAUCAAGGUAUUAAAUUCUUCAUCAGAUGGCAGAAAAAAUGAAAAAGUCAGAGGAGAGUUUAUUUUGUUUCCUUAAGGGAUUUCAAAGAAGAAGAAAAUAGAACUAACAGGCAUGUCUUAACUCCAGGGCGUUUCAACUCUUGGAUCUAAAAAGAUAACAGAUUCAUGUAUAGUUUCAGGAAAUGCAUCCACUGGUGUAAUUGGAUGGACUUGCUGAACAACACAAGAUCUUUAGGAUCUUGACUGAUUUCCAUAUGGUUAUAAUUUAGGGAAGAUGUCAUAUUACUUUUAUGUGAAUCUUGCAGCUAAGUGUCCCGAAUUCUUUUACAGUUGCUGGUUGCAAUAGAGAAAUGCAGAGGGAAGGCUGCAAGAACAGAAAAACAGUGACUUCACAAACAAGGAGAAACAAAGGGAAGAAGGGGAUUUGCCAACUUGGCUCAGGAGCAAACUAGACAUGAAGUUAACCCAGUGAAUGCAAUUAACACACCUAUCUUUUAAAAUGUAAACAUAAGAUGAUAGAACAAUAGAGUUGGAAGGGAUCCUGAGGAUCAUCUAGUCCAACCCCCUGCAAUGAAGGAAUCUCAACACGCUGGUCCCCAUCUAGUUUGAUCAUAGCACACUCUGCUUGAUUUUGCAAAUGUGCACCCUCUGCAGGUGCUGCAGAGAGUGAUUUGGUGUUUAUACACUGGUGUGUGGGAAGACUCUGCUCUCCCAAUGUCAUGGUCCUAAUGAAGCUGUCUUUGCCCUAGGAGGGAAGCAGCUUUUGGCUCUAGUGGACCAAAAAGUGGUCUAUAAAUGAGCCACAGAACAGCAGCUGGUGACAGUUUUCUGAAGGAGGACUGCUGCUACUGAGAUCAGCACAGUGGAACAGAACUUGCCCACUUGCCAAGUAUAGAAGCCGUUGUGAACUUCUAUCUGUGCUUUGCAUACGCACAAACACACCCACACCAGGACAGAAGAAGGCUUCUGUGUUUUUCAUGUGAACCACCAUUCAAAAUCUUAUCCCAAAAACUCCAUUUGAAGUGAAAUGGAUGAGACGUCCUGCGAUGACAGAUAUUUAGUCUUUCAAGAUCUGUUCAUGUGGAUCAUGUUUAAUAUUGCUUAAUUAUAAAUCUUUUUUUAAAAAAAUAGAUUUUUAUUGAUUUUCCAAUAUCAUUCCAAUAACAGCCUCAUUAUCUCUUAUCUCAUUGUAUCUGGCACACGCCUGUAAUUUACUCCAAUUAAAGUCCAAUUAACAGGAUAACCUGUGCUUCCAGGAACGGGAUUGUGGGUGGGUGCCCCAGAGUGGCUGGGCAACCCAGUCAGAUGGGCAGCAUACAAAUAAGAUCAUCAUCAUCAUCACUAUUUAGAUUCGUUUUACUUUUUUUCUUGUCAUAAGGACAUGUGAGGCUCAUCAAGUGAAAAGUUUAGGGUGCCAAAACAGUGAUUCUGAUUAAAAAGGGGUUUAAUUCCAGGAAGAUGAAUCUGUGGCCCUUCAGAUAUUGCUAGACUACAACUCCCACUAUCCUUGACCAUUCCUUGCUGGGGUUGAUGGGAGUCCAAAAACAUAUGGAGGGCUGCAAGCUCCUUGUCCCUGACUUACUUUACAUAGUAAGAUUUCCUCACAAAUCUUCCAGGUUUGAUAUCAGAGUUAGUACUGAUUAGCUGAACAUUGCAAGCUGGGGGUGUAUAUGGUAGAGCCCAUUCCAGUCCCCUCUGCUAUUAUUUUUAACCCACCCAAGGCAUAGAAGUCAAAUGAUGCUCUUGUAAUUAACUCAGCCCUUGGCCUUGAACUAAAAGGUGCACUAAUUGCAGAGACUUUUCUCCUGGCGUCAUUUCAUUUUUGUACUUUUAAUCUUUCCCAGUCCUUCAGAAACAAAUAACAAGUGGGUCAAAAAGAGUUUGAAGCUAUGUAAGAUUUCUUUUCGCAUGGAAAUUUCAGAGAGACAAAACACUCACACUCUCUUUUUAAGUUCCUGCUUCAAAUGCAGCCUUUGUCUUGGGACCUGUGUGCGAUUGCCACUAAAGAUGCAUGAAGAAAUUGGUCUUUAUUAAUUCCUCAGUGAAUUGACCUGAGCUGCAUUUCUUGGAGUGAUGUGUGGAUGAGAACUUAUUUAUCCAUCCAACUUCACACUUAGUUCUUAGCAGAAAAGCAUAUCAAAAUGCUUCUCUGCACAUUGUGGAUGGUAAAAUCUAGGAGGAGGAGGUUGACUAGAUUGGUCUAGGGAGCAGUUAAAGCCUCACUAUAUGGGGGAGUUCUCCUUGGUCUAUCAGUAGAUUUGACACCACUGGAAUUACUCAGGGUGGUGUAUGAUGCUUGUUGGGAAAGCUCAGAAACAACAUAAAUGGGAUCCAUCACCAAAAUUAAGCAGUUUAAAUGUAUAGGUAUCAACUUCACUAUUUUAGGAUCCUUUAAAGCAGGGGUGGGUAAGGUUUCUAAGCUUGAGGGGCACAUGCCAUUGGUAGAUGUGUUUAUUGAGUGUUUCAGGGGUUUUGUGGUUUUUUAUUGUUGCAAAAUAUAUUGGACAUUGCAAUGGAUCAUGAUAUUUAUUUAAAGUGAUGUCACUUUACUAUUUCACUGUUGUAUAACUGAUGGCCUUUGGCUAAAGCAAUAAAGAUAUGGAUUUGGAAAAGUAUUCAGCAACACGGCAGUGGGCAGGGUUCCUGCAUUGCAGGUUUGGACUAGAUGAACCUUGGGGUCUCUUCCAGCUCUACAAUUCUACGAUUCUAUUAUAUUAUUCUAUUCAAAUGAUGAAUAUUACUGUAAGAAAGUAAUGAUUAGAUGGCACAAGUCACCAGAUAAUAUCAGAAUCUGCCUUCAAAUUCAGAUAGAAGGACUGUUUGAGACUUGCUCUAGUCUUCCACUAAGCUUCGCUUUCAUAUUCUCCCUUCUACCUUGAUAUAGACAUUGAGGUUUUUCCUGCCCCUCUCUAAAGUAUCCCACAUGAGAUCUAUUCAUUACUCAUGCUUUUCCUUUGCAUAUGGUGCCUUCUUCUGCCAUAUGUUCAUGCCAAGAUUGCAUGGCCAUGGAAAGGUCCUGCAGACAUGUAAUUCCUUCAACCUUCAUGCCCUUCCUCCUCAUCCCAGUUUUCCAUGACUAUCUUUAGGAAAUGAUGUUAUAAAUUAGGUGUUCUCCCUUGGAAGUGAUUUGGGGCCCACUGUAUCUUCCUCAAUUAUUGUCCAUAUGCUUUCUUGUGCUGACUCUUUAAGGCACAGCUCCUGUGGCCCCCAUGCUAAGCUGCUUCUGAAUGAGACGGGGAAAUGGUGUUCUAAUUCACAUAUACGCUUCCAUGUCAGCCUCUCUAAUGGUUCCCUUGGUGACAGUAAGUUUGAAUUUUCAAUCAGUUCUCUGGCAUGGUGCUUCAAAAUUUGUUUAGAUGAUUGUUUAGCACAGACCUAAUGAGCGCAGUCAGGCUUGUAAUGGAAAAAAGAGUUUAUUGAGCAGACAGAUCUCAUGAGUUGGAAGAGAUUUUCUGGCCUUUGGUCAGGCCUUAACAGGUCAGGAAAUGUUAGUUCCAGCUUUGAUUGGGACGUAUUUUGUUCCCCUUCCCUUUCACUUUCUAUUUGCUGCACCACUGUAAAACAAAUGUACCUGUAUGAUGUAAUGUAUCCUGCAUGAAUUGCAGCUGGAAGGGUCCAAAUCCCAGAAUUAGCUUGUUGGGGCCAACUAUGGAGAAGGUAGCUGAUCCCACUCAAGGAUACCCCGCUGCCACCCAGAUUAAAAAAAACAGGAACAAGCAAAGUACGCAGAAAUAAAGAAAAAUGGGCCUGAUCUGUCUUCCUUAAGCACCUCCCUCUCCUACUCUCACAUGUACAUAGGGAGCAGCAUUCAUCUCUGCAGGAGAGACUAUCUGUCCCAUGAAACUCAGCCAACUGGUGAAUACCAGGAAUAGGUAAAUCUGUCAAUUUAACAUUCUCUCCAUUUUGAAUUUUUCCAUUCUUAACUUAUGUUUUUCACAUUUUCACAUUAGUUUGUGAUUUUUUUAUGUCCUCAUGAAAAUUCAUCAACAUUCUAGUGCACUUUUCUCCUAAUAUACCAUUUUUCUUAGGAUUUUUUUUCCAAUCUAACAUUUUUGCAUUUCCCCUAAUAUAAAGCAUUCUUGUGUGAUAUAUUAACUAAUAUAUUCAUCUUGUGCCACACUUUUUCCUAGUACAGGCAUGGUCAAACUUGGCCCUCCAGCUGUUUUGGGACUAUAAUUCCCAUCAUCCCUGACCACUGUUCCUGUUAGCUAGGGAUGAUGGGAGUUGUAUUCCCAAAACAGCUGGAAGGCCAAGUUUGGCCAUGCCUGUCCUAGUACAUGCAUCCUAGUACUCAAUACUUGGCCUGAGAACCUGUUUGCAAAUGUGAAUUUCAAAGGAUGAUUGUGUUUCAGUUAUCAUUUUGUUUCUGAAAGUACAAAUUAAGUAGCUUCACUUUUAAAUGUGAACUGAUUUGAAAUCUUCCCCAUCCCUAGUGGAUACUGCUCAAAGGAAGCUGUGUGAGAGCAACAAUUUCCAACUUAGUUGAAGCAUUAUUGCUGGUGGUUCUCAGCAUGUGAAGUCUUGACAUGAGCCGACUCUCCACCCAGAUGAAAGAAUUGCAAUAUAACACAAUUAUUUCAGCAGUUGCAUAAGGUCCUAGAACUCUAUAAUUCUAUGAUUCUGUGGUGCAGGCUUUACUGGUUACAUCCUUUAAUCAUUGUUUAUUUACCUGUACUUUGUAUCUGUACUCCUUAAGUUAUUGAUAAAAGAAACAAUAGAAAACUAUUUGUAUAGUAACUUCCCAACUCUACCAUUGCCUGUUCACUGUGAAUUUGGCAAUUAAAGAGGCCUGGGUGCAAGUGAAGCAUGAACAGCAAGCUUUUUCUUUCAUAAACUGACAGCAUGAGCUCUCCCUCAUCUAGAAUGGGAACCUUGUCAGAGGUAAAGGGACAUGGCUCCAAUCAACACUGUCAAGACAUCUUCAAAAAGCUUUUGAUAAAGCCCUUCACCAAAGACUCCUAUGUAAGCUUAGCAUUCAUGGGAUAAGAGGACAUGUCCUUUUAUGGAUCAGUAACUGGUUUCCCUUAAGGGUGAUCCAGGAAUGUUGAUUUAUUAAUUUGAUCUACUGCAUUGUAAUGUAUUUUGCAUUUGUUUUACAGAUAUAAUUUCAUUCUUGAUUUUGUGCUGUUCACUACCAUGAUUCCCUACCUCAAAUAUGGCAGUAUAUAUAGUUGUGCAAAUAAAAUUAAUCAGUAAAACCUUUCCCAGGUUGUAUGUACACAAUGCUGACUGGAUCACCUCUGUCCAUAUGCUUGUUGAUGCUGUCAGAUAACCCUCCUACUGCUACCCCAUCCCAAGUUUCUCAACUAGAUCAGACCCAUCAUUCUUUCAAUUUGCAAAUGAAAAGUUCUGAUACAUUUGAUGAAUGUAACAUGGUGUCUGGCUUCUGUAGCAAGAAUUGAAGAGGCCUCCUAGAUAAGAAUGUAAAAUUAAACACCAUUGUCAAGAAUUCUUGUAUGUCUGUCCAUGUCCACCACUGCAUAUGAAUGUACAUACCUGGUGCAUCACACAGCAUCUUAAGCACAAAUUGGAACAUGGGUUCUUAAUACGAGAGAUUUUUAUUUUUUACAAGUGGUGUAUCAGUUUUAGAUUCUGCAACCUUCUAUAUGCUGAGAUUGUUUUAAAAGAUGUCUUUAUCCACAUAGGUGACCAUUGGGACUGGAUCUUUAGAUGCAAAAGCUUCUCUGCCGCUGUUUGAAAAAGAUCUCAAUCUACCGACUCUGCAGCCGCCUAGGCCUGCAAGCUCUGUUCUCUCCUCCAAUGUCAUAUUCCCUGGUUGCCUUCAAGAGCAGGGAGUAAAUCAUCCUUAGCCAGGUGCUAAUUGCUUUCAUGGUUUUCAUUAGGCAGACACCAGUGAAGCUGGAUUAUUUCUAAGGGGACAUUCCUAUUUUAUCAGAUCCAUAACACCCCUUUUCUGAUUAUGGGGAACUGUUGGCAG
Non-coding RNA from Podarcis lilfordi (Lilford's wall lizard), 6212 nucleotides. The record is from the annotation of a GenBank genome assembly. Lineage: Eukaryota; Metazoa; Chordata; Lepidosauria; Squamata; Lacertidae.